RNAcentral lists this ribosomal RNA (253 nucleotides) under uncultured bacterium. RNAcentral's name for it is "partial 16S ribosomal RNA". It matches the Rfam family "Bacterial small subunit ribosomal RNA", at positions 524 to 776 of the family's 1533-position model. The record is from RNAcentral.
UACAGAGGGUGCGAGCGUUGUUCGGAAUUAUUGGGCGUAAAGGGCGCGUAGGCGGCGUGACAAGUCACUUGUGAAAUCUCCGGGCUUAACUCGGAACGGCCAAGUGAAACUGUCAUGCUAGAGUGCAGAAGGGGCAAUCGGAAUUCUUGGUGUAGCGGUGAAAUGCGUAGAUAUCAAGAGGAACACCUGAGGUGAAGACGGGUUGCUGGGCUGACACUGACGCUGAGGCGCGAAAGCCAGGGGAGCAAACGGG